Molecule: ribosomal RNA, 1140 nt
Filed under: Salmonella enterica subsp. enterica serovar Newport
Lineage: Bacteria; Pseudomonadati; Pseudomonadota; Gammaproteobacteria; Enterobacterales; Enterobacteriaceae
Description: partial 23S ribosomal RNA
Rfam family: Bacterial large subunit ribosomal RNA
Source: RNAcentral
CUAAGCGUACACGGUGGAUGCCCUGGCAGUCAGAGGCGAUGAAGGACGUGCUAAUCUGCGAUAAGCGCCGGUAAGGUGAUAUGAACCGUUAUAACCGGCGAUUUCCGAAUGGGGAAACCCAGUGUGAUUCGUCACACUAUCAUUAACUGAAUCCAUAGGUUAAUGAGGCGAACCGGGGGAACUGAAACAUCUAAGUACCCCGAGGAAAAGAAAUCAACCGAGAUUCCCCCAGUAGCGGCGAGCGAACGGGGAGGAGCCCAGAGCCUGAAUCAGCAUGUGUGUUAGUGGAAGCGUCUGGAAAGGCGCGCGAUACAGGGUGACAGCCCCGUACACAAAAGCGCAUGUGCUGUGAGCUCGAUGAGUAGGGCGGGACACGUGGUAUCCUGUCUGAAUAUGGGGGGACCAUCCUCCAAGGCUAAAUACUCCUGACUGACCGAUAGUGAACCAGUACCGUGAGGGAAAGGCGAAAAGAACCCCGGCGAGGGGAGUGAAAAAGAACCUGAAACCGUGUACGUACAAGCAGUGGGAGCACAGGUUUACCUGUGUGACUGCGUACCUUUUGUAUAAUGGGUCAGCGACUUAUAUUCUGUAGCAAGGUUAACCGUAUAGGGGAGCCGUAGGGAAACCGAGUCUUAACCGGGCGUUAAGUUGCAGGGUAUAGACCCGAAACCCGGUGAUCUAGCCAUGGGCAGGUUGAAGGUUGGGUAACACUAACUGGAGGACCGAACCGACUAAUGUUGAAAAAUUAGCGGAUGACCUGUGGCUGGGGGUGAAAGGCCAAUCAAACCGGGAGAUAGCUGGUUCUCCCCGAAAGCUAUUUAGGUAGCGCCUCGUGAAUUCAUCUCCGGGGGUAGAGCACUGUUUCGGCUAGGGGGCCAUCCCGGCUUACCAACCCGAUGCAAACUGCGAAUACCGGAGAAUGUUAUCACGGGAGACACACGGCGGGUGCUAACGUCCGUCGUGAAGAGGGAAACAACCCAGACCGCCAGCUAAGGUCCCAAAGUCAUGGUUAAGUGGGAAACGAUGUGGGAAGGCCCAGACAGCCAGGAUGUUGGCUUAGAAGCAGCCAUCAUUUAAAGAAAGCGUAAUAGCUCACUGGUCGAGUCGGCCUGCGCGGAAGAUGUAACGGGGCUAAACCAU